Molecule: ribosomal RNA, 729 nt
Filed under: Bacillus sp. 17857
Lineage: Bacteria; Bacillati; Bacillota; Bacilli; Caryophanales; Bacillaceae
Description: bacterial SSU rRNA
Rfam family: Bacterial small subunit ribosomal RNA
Source: RNAcentral
GCGAAUGGAUUGAGAGCUUGCUCUCAAGAAGUUAGCGGCGGACGGGUGAGUAACACGUGGGUAACCUGCCCAUAAGACUGGGAUAACUCCGGGAAACCGGGGCUAAUACCGGAUAACAUUUUGAACUGCAUGGUUCGAAAUUGAAAGGCGGCUUCGGCUGUCACUUAUGGAUGGACCCGCGUCGCAUUAGCUAGUUGGUGAGGUAACGGCUCACCAAGGCAACGAUGCGUAGCCGACCUGAGAGGGUGAUCGGCCACACUGGGACUGAGACACGGCCCAGACUCCUACGGGAGGCAGCAGUAGGGAAUCUUCCGCAAUGGACGAAAGUCUGACGGAGCAACGCCGCGUGAGUGAUGAAGGCUUUCGGGUCGUAAAACUCUGUUGUUAGGGAAGAACAAGUGCUAGUUGAAUAAGCUGGCACCUUGACGGUACCUAACCAGAAAGCCACGGCUAACUACGUGCCAGCAGCCGCGGUAAUACGUAGGUGGCAAGCGUUAUCCGGAAUUAUUGGGCGUAAAGCGCGCGCAGGUGGUUUCUUAAGUCUGAUGUGAAAGCCCACGGCUCAACCGUGGAGGGUCAUUGGAAACUGGGAGACUUGAGUGCAGAAGAGGAAAGUGGAAUUCCAUGUGUAGCGGUGAAAUGCGUAGAGAUAUGGAGGAACACCAGUGGCGAAGGCGACUUUCUGGUCUGUAACUGACACUGAGGCGCGAAAGCGUGGGGAGCAAACAG